Molecule: ribosomal RNA, 119 nt
Filed under: Pteropus alecto (black flying fox)
Lineage: Eukaryota; Metazoa; Chordata; Mammalia; Chiroptera; Pteropodidae
Source: RNAcentral
GUCUACAGCCAUGCUACCCUGAACAAGCCCAAUCUCAUAUGAUCUCGGAAGCUAAGCAGAGUCGGGGCUGGUUAGCACUUGGAUGGGAGACCACCUAGGAAAGCCAGGUGGCAUAAAAA